RNAcentral lists this ribosomal RNA (114 nucleotides) under Zingiber officinale. The record is from RNAcentral. Lineage: Eukaryota; Viridiplantae; Streptophyta; Magnoliopsida; Zingiberales; Zingiberaceae.
GCGAUCAUAAUAGCCCUUGUGCACCGGAUCCCAUCAGAACUCCGAUGUUAAGCGUUCUUAGGCGAGAGCAGUACUAGGAUGGGUGACCCCCUGGGAAGUCCUCGUGUUGCACCU